RNAcentral lists this ribosomal RNA (662 nucleotides) under Escherichia coli. RNAcentral's name for it is "partial 23S ribosomal RNA". It matches the Rfam family "Bacterial large subunit ribosomal RNA", at positions 2259 to 2915 of the family's 2925-position model. Lineage: Bacteria; Pseudomonadati; Pseudomonadota; Gammaproteobacteria; Enterobacterales; Enterobacteriaceae. The record is from RNAcentral.
UGGUGGGUAGUUUGACUGGGGCGGUCUCCUCCUAAAGAGUAACGGAGGAGCACGAAGGUUGGCUAAUCCUGGUCGGACAUCAGGAGGUUAGUGCAAUGGCAUAAGCCAGCUUGACUGCGAGCGUGACGGCGCGAGCAGGUGCGAAAGCAGGUCAUAGUGAUCCGGUGGUUCUGAAUGGAAGGGCCAUCGCUCAACGGAUAAAAGGUACUCCGGGGAUAACAGGCUGAUACCGCCCAAGAGUUCAUAUCGACGGCGGUGUUUGGCACCUCGAUGUCGGCUCAUCACAUCCUGGGGCUGAAGUAGGUCCCAAGGGUAUGGCUGUUCGCCAUUUAAAGUGGUACGCGAGCUGGGUUUAGAACGUCGUGAGACAGUUCGGUCCCUAUCUGCCGUGGGCGCUGGAGAACUGAGGGGGGCUGCUCCUAGUACGAGAGGACCGGAGUGGACGCAUCACUGGUGUUCGGGUUGUCAUGCCAAUGGCACUGCCCGGUAGCUAAAUGCGGAAGAGAUAAGUGCUGAAAGCAUCUAAGCACGAAACUUGCCCCGAGAUGAGUUCUCCCUGACUCCUUGAGAGUCCUGAAGGAACGUUGAAGACGACGACGUUGAUAGGCCGGGUGUGUAAGCGCAGCGAUGCGUUGAGCUAACCGGUACUAAUGAACCGUGAG